This 509-nucleotide ribosomal RNA is filed under the name uncultured Hanseniaspora. Its description in RNAcentral is "eukaryotic LSU rRNA". It matches the Rfam family "Eukaryotic large subunit ribosomal RNA", at positions 63 to 571 of the family's 3401-position model. Lineage: Eukaryota; Fungi; Ascomycota; Saccharomycetes; Saccharomycodales; Saccharomycodaceae. The record is from RNAcentral.
AACCAACUGGGAUUACCUUAGUAACGGCGAGUGAAGCGGUAAAAGCUCAAAUUUGAAAUCUGGUACUUUCAGUGCCCGAGUUGUAAUUUGUAGAAUUUGUCUUUGAUUAGGUCCUUGUCUAUGUUCCUUGGAACAGGACGUCAUAGAGGGUGAGAAUCCCGUUUGGCGAGGAUACCUUUUCUCUGUAAGACUUUUUCGAAGAGUCGAGUUGUUUGGGAAUGCAGCUCAAAGUGGGUGGUAAAUUCCAUCUAAAGCUAAAUAUUGGCGAGAGACCGAUAGCGAACAAGUACAGUGAUGGAAAGAUGAAAAGAACUUUGAAAAGAGAGUGAAAAAGUACGUGAAAUUGUUGAAAGGGAAGGGCAUUUGAUCAGACAUGGUGUCUUUUGCAUGCACUCGCCUCUCGUGGGCUUGGGCCUCUCAAAAAUUUCACUGGGCCAACAUCAAUUCUGGCAGUAGGAUAAAUCAUUAAGAAUGUAGCUACCUCGGUAGUGUUAUAGCUUAUUGGAAUA